AUACGAAGGGGGCUAGCGUUGUUCGGAAUUACUGGGCGUAAAGCGCAUGUAGGCGGGCAUUUAAGUCAGGGGUGAAAUCCCGGGGCUCAACCUCGGAACUGCCGGUUUGAUACUGGGUGUCUAGAGUGUGGAAGAGGUAAGUGGAAUUCCGAGUGUAGAGGUGAAAUUCGUAGAUAUUCGGAGGAACACCAGUGGCGAAGGCGGCUUACUGGUCCAUUACUGACGCUGAGGUGCGAAAGCGUGGGGAGC
This 249-nucleotide ribosomal RNA is filed under the name uncultured bacterium. RNAcentral describes it as "partial 16S ribosomal RNA". It matches the Rfam family "Bacterial small subunit ribosomal RNA", at positions 523 to 769 of the family's 1533-position model. The record is from RNAcentral.